AAUUUUGGGAAGGGUUAGAUCCAUGCAAGAACAAAUUCAAAUUGACAUGUGUUCUCCUAUCUGUCUCACACUGUGUUGAACACAAUAUUGUCAUACAGGCAAGGUUGAAAUUUCUCCCAAGCCCAUCAUAGCCAUAUAUGCCAUCAGUAACACUCAUCUCACAUUGUCUAUCAGAAGGAAAAUUAGUCUUGUGUUGAUGAUUUCCAACAUCCUGGAUUAGUCAAAGUAAAUAAGCUGGUUGCUCCUAAAAGAUGCUUCCCGGUAAGCGAAACAAAACAAACUGCUGUGAUAUCUUUGAAAAAGUUGUCUCAAAUCAGACAAUCAAUUUGACUCACUGACCACAAAUCAAAAUUCUAAAUACUUAUGUCAUCCUUUCCCGGGGUGGCCAACUAGCCUUUUAGGCUGUAACCCUUUUGAUCCCUCAAAACAUUGAGGCUGCAACUCCUUCCUAAAGUAUAUGCAGCUAUCAGAGGCUGAGCCAAAGCUCCAUUCACAACCAACUAGUUUUAAUUUUCAUACUUGGUUGAUAUAGUAACAAGCUCAUCACGGAUGCGUCUACACAAUUUAGAAUGACCAUAAUCAAUCAACAGGGAGUCGAAAAAUGAACAACCUAAUCAUUCACUAACAUCUAAAACUAUUCAGGCCUUACCCUCUUUCAAGAUUUAAAUCCAACCGUUGACCGGCAGUAAGCUUGUCAACCUCAUACCUGCAUGAACAAAUAAUAUUGGUUGAUGAAACUGGCACUCAAAAGUAGAAUCAUUUUUCCAACAAUUCAAUUGUACCUUAGUUCACUGCGCAUUUUUUCAAUGUCAUUCCGAAGCUUUUCAAGUUCACGUUGCAGCAGAGAAAAAUGAUGUUCCUGCAACAAAUUUUUUUUAAUCGGUAUGAAUUCCAUACAUCAAACUCAAACCAAUGCUCAUUCGGGGAUAGAACAAAAACAUAUAUCAUGAACAUAUAUAUUAUUAGCACAACCAUGAUGCAAUAAUCAUCAGUCCAACACUGAGUUUGAAGUAAAUUUUCCUCCUUGAUCACCCAAUGUUAAGAGAAUUUUGGGAAGGGUUAGAUCCAUGCAAGAACAAAUUCAAAUUGACAUGUGUUCUCCUAUCUGUCUCACACUGUGUUGAACACAAUAUUGUCAUACAGGCAAGGUUGAAAUUUCUCCCAAGCCAUCAUAGCCAUAUAUGCCAUCAGUAACACUCGUCUCACAUUGUCUAUCAGAAGGAAAAUUAGUCUUGUGUUGAUGAUUUCCAACAUCCUGGAUUAGUCAAAGUAAAUAAGCUGGUUGCUCCUAAAAGAUGCUUCCCGGUAAGCGAAACAAAAAAAACUGCUGUGAUAUCUUUGAAAAAGUUGUCUCAAAUCAGGCAAUCAAUUUGACUCACUGACCACAAAUCAAAAUUCUAAAUACUUAUGUCAUCCUUUCCCGGGUGGCCAACUAGCCUUUUAGGCUGAACCCUUUUGAUCCCUCAAAACAUUGAGGCUGCAACUCCUUCCUAAAGUAUUUGCAGCUAUCAGAGGCUGAGCCAAAGCUCCCUUCACAACCAACUAGUUUUAAUUUUCAUACUUGGUUGAUAUAGUAAAAAAAAAAUUAUGACCGUGGUGUCCGGGCUUAGCUUUCGCACAUCUCGAC
This 1627-nucleotide long non-coding RNA is filed under the name Solanum tuberosum (potato). RNAcentral's name for it is "long non-coding RNA (STUB_LNC010097)". Lineage: Eukaryota; Viridiplantae; Streptophyta; Magnoliopsida; Solanales; Solanaceae. The record is from RNAcentral.